UUGCUUUUCAAGCAACUAAACACUAAAAUGUACAGCAAAAGGGCAUUAUCAUACACAAAUACAUAAAUGUCUUGCAUGAAAUUGAUGUCAUGUUUGUAAUCUUUCACAUUUCAGAGCAUAGAAGUUCUAAACAUUAGAAUUCCGUUUACUGUAAGACGUAUUUAUUUGCAGUUUGUUAAGUUCUCAUGAGAAUUACAGAACUUGAAUUGCUGAUGAGAAUAACUUUCUCUGAGAUUAACAAGCAUAUCACCGAGUUUGCCAGCCUUAUAAGACACCGUGAAAACAGUAUUUCAUAAUAAAAUGAAUUAAGGGCAAAUACUUUGCAACUUACUGAUUCUGGGCAGCUUUGUUAAACGUUCCCUCCUCCAAUCCUUGUCCAGAGUUUGGUGUCCCACCAGCUCCUGAAUACAGUUGAAAAUCUGCAGACUGCCCUUCUGUUUGGGAAGGAACCAGAUCAUGAACCCAUGGUCCUUACCACUCAUUCUGCCACAAUGUACAUAAACAGAUUACAAACAGAAAAUAUGGACGGUACAUCCAUUAACAUCUCCAGUUCCAGCUCUGCCAGCUUUACUCUCCCAACUGCUUCCUCUCUUGGUAUUUCAGGGGUGGAUGAUGAAACAGUGGAUAUAAGGGCAAGUAAACAGCUUUUAUGUGACUCAAUCUGAUCUACAAUUUACAUUCUUGGUCUAGCAAUUUUAGAGUCCUUUCUCCUUUUAGAAUGAGUACGCAAGCACACAAGUCAUCCCUUCCUUUUUGGUCAAAGAAGCUUUCACUUAUCUUAAUUUCAUGAAGUUGGCUGAGCAAGCUUAAACGCCCCAUCCCCUCAGCCUCUCACAUACACUCUUGCUUUAUGCUUGCAUGGUUAGAGAAGGUGAUGGAAUCAACACUACAAACCUAUUUGCUGUUUGUUUACAUCUAAUGCUCUGAGAGAGACAUAACAGCUCAGAGUCCUUAUCAGCAUUCAAACUAACAGGCAGCAAUCCUCUUUCAUCCAAGCUAGAAACAAAUGAGUCUGAGGCACUCAGAUCCUGCAGGAGACAGAAAGUCUCCAAAUGUCCGAAUUAUAGCACAGCUGUGAUCUGAGUUAGGUUUCAUUGUGUCUUUUCCAGUUCUGACAAAAAAAUGUCCAGAACCUCCUUAUAACAAUGGCAGUAUAUUCACCUGAGUGUUAGGAGAGGCUAC
This 1182-nucleotide long non-coding RNA is filed under the name Numida meleagris (helmeted guineafowl). RNAcentral's name for it is "lncRNA (ENSNMEG00000018751.1)". The record is from RNAcentral. Lineage: Eukaryota; Metazoa; Chordata; Aves; Galliformes; Numididae.